CCUACGGGAGGCAGCAGUGAGGAAUAUUGGUCAAUGGGCGGGAGCCUGAACCAGCCAAGUCGCGUGAGGGAUGACGGCCCUAUGGGUUGUAAACCUCUUUUGUCAGGGAGCAAAGUCACCCACGUGUGGGUGUUGGAGAGUACCUGAAGAAAAAGCAUCGGCUAACUCCGUGCCAGCAGCCGCGGUAAUACGGAGGAUGCGAGCGUUAUCCGGAUUUAUUGGGUUUAAAGGGUGCGCAGGCGGAAUGUCAAGUCAGCGGUAAAAUUUCGGGGCUCAACCCCGUCGUGCCGUUGAAACUGGCGUUC
Molecule: ribosomal RNA, 305 nt
Filed under: uncultured bacterium
Lineage: Bacteria
Description: bacterial SSU rRNA
Rfam family: Bacterial small subunit ribosomal RNA
Source: RNAcentral